AACCAGAUUGUGGUCCUUUGUUACAGCAGUCUUAGCCAAUUCCUACAGCAGGCUAGCUGCAAGGCAUCAUGGGAAGAUAUAGACAAGCCGCUCAAGUCCUAAUAUAGCAAGUGAGUCUCCUAGAAUAGGCAUAGAGCAUGAUCUGGCAGCUUCCCAUCUGCCGCUGAAAAAAGCUAAACGCAACAAAAAACAAAACAAAGGCAGGGGCUAUCUUGGUGCUCAAGGAGAAGAAUCUGGAAGACCUUCCCUCGACAUUCACGAGCAAACAUUGCUUCCAGUAAGUGGCUCACCCCCUGAUCAAGUGACUCAGCUUCUCCGAUUGCAGUCUCAGCGUCAUCCAACGGGGACAGAUAUGGAGGCCUGCUGGGCCCCAGCCCUGCUUGGCUCCCCCGAGAAUGAGUGGCCUGCAGUGGAAAAUUUCCUGUGUGGUGUUGCUGUUGGCUGCCCUGGAGGAGUCAGGGGCCUGGCAUCGACCCACCCCACAAACUCUGUGCAGACUUGAGGCUUGAGGAACGGGCCCACAGAUCGACAGGAAGAGGAAAGUCUGAGUUGAAAGGCACCAAGAAUCACUCCUGGGCUGGCUGGCUGAAGGCUGCAUCUUCAGAAGACACUGGAGCAGGAGAAGGAGCUCCAGUCUCUGCCUUCAGCUUGAACAUCAUCACCUGGCUUCCGGUGCAGACUCUUCAGCUUCUGGUGCAGACCUAUCGGCCUCCAGAUACCCACUAUCACGGAACCCUGCAGUGAGCUCCAGACCAUGGAUUGAACUCUUCUCAGUGUGCAGACAUCCUCUACUCGCUUCCUCAUCGAUCCUGUGGCUGAUGAUUGCGAGCCGAUCUUGCAACUCCUUAUACGUUUGUACACCUUGUGUUAUAUCUAUCUGUCUCUCUAGUAAACUCUGAUACAGCCAGCUA
Molecule: long non-coding RNA, 911 nt
Organism: Cavia porcellus (domestic guinea pig)
Lineage: Eukaryota; Metazoa; Chordata; Mammalia; Rodentia; Caviidae
Exons: 3
Source: RefSeq, a predicted model, not a curated record